This 493-nucleotide ribosomal RNA is filed under the name uncultured bacterium. RNAcentral's name for it is "partial 16S ribosomal RNA". It matches the Rfam family "Bacterial small subunit ribosomal RNA", at positions 29 to 508 of the family's 1533-position model. The record is from RNAcentral.
AGUGAACGCUGGCGGUAGGCCUAACACAUGCAAGUCGAACGGCAGCACAGUAAGAGCUUGCUCUUACGGGUGGCGAGUGGCGGACGGGUGAGGAAUACAUCGGAAUCUACUUUUUCGUGGGGGAUAACGUAGGGAAACUUACGCUAAUACCGCAUACGACCUACGGGUGAAAGCAGGGGAUCUUCGGACCUUGCGCGAUUGAAUGAGCCGAUGUCGGAUUAGCUAGUUGGCGGGGUAAAGGCCCACCAAGGCGACGAUCCGUAGCUGGUCUGAGAGGAUGAUCAGCCACACUGGAACUGGGACACGGUCCAGACUCCUACGGGAGGCAGCAGUGGGGAAUAUUGGACAAUGGGCGCAAGCCUGAUCCAGCCAUACCGCGUGGGUGAAGAAGGCCUUCGGGUUGUAAAGCCCUUUUGUUGGGAAAGAAAAGCAGCAGGUUAAUACCCCGCUGUUCUGACGGUACCCAAAGAAUAAGCGCCGGCUAACUUCGUGC